RNAcentral lists this ribosomal RNA (1246 nucleotides) under uncultured Prevotellaceae bacterium. RNAcentral's name for it is "bacterial SSU rRNA". It matches the Rfam family "Bacterial small subunit ribosomal RNA", at positions 75 to 1325 of the family's 1533-position model. The record is from RNAcentral. Lineage: Bacteria; Pseudomonadati; Bacteroidota; Bacteroidia; Bacteroidales; Prevotellaceae.
GAAGCUUGCUUCUCCUGGCGACGACCGGCGAACGGGUGAGCAACGCGUAUCCAACCUGCCCCGCGCCCGGGGACAGCCCUUGGAAAUGAGGAUUAACCCCCGAUAUGCGCGGAGACCGCAUGGUCUCCACGUGAAACUGGACGCGGGAUGGGGAUGCGUUGGAUUAGCUGGACGGCGGGGCAGCGGCCCACCGUGGCGACGAUCCAUAGGGGUUCUGAGAGGAAGGUCCCCCACACUGGCACUGAGACACGGGCCAGACUCCUACGGGAGGCAGCAGUGAGGAAUAUUGGUCAAUGGGCGAGAGCCUGAACCAGCCAAGUAGCGUGCAGGAUGACGACCCUACGGGUUGUAAACUGCUUUUGGGCGGGAAUAAAGAGGGGGGCGCGUCCCCCGUUGCAUGUACCGCCCGAAUAAGGACCGGCUAAUUCCGUGCCAGCAGCCGCGGUAAUACGGAAGGUCCGGGCGUUAUCCGGAUUUAUUGGGUUUAAAGGGAGCGCAGGCGGGCUGUCAAGCCAGCCGUAAAAUCGCGGGGCUCAACCCCGCUCAGCGGUUGGAACUGGCGGUCUUGAUUGCGGGAGAGGAAGGCGGAACUCGUGGUGUAGCGGUGAAAUGCAUAGAUAUCACGAAGAACCCCGAUUGCGAAGGCAGCCUUCCGGCCCGUCAAUGACGCUCAUGCUCGAAGGUGCGGGUAUCAAACAGGAUUAGAUACCCUGGUAGUCCGCACAGUAAACGAUGGAUGCUCGCGGUGCGCCCCUUGUGGGUACGCCGCCAAGGGAAACCGUUAAGCAUCCCACCUGGGGAGUACGCCGGCAACGGUGAAACUCAAAGGAAUUGACGGGGGCCCGCACAAGCGGAGGAACAUGUGGUUUAAUUCGAUGAUACGCGAGGAACCUUACCCGGGCUUGAAAUGUGCCUGACGGGUCCCAGAGACGGGACCUUCCUUCGGGCAGGCAUGUAGGUGCUGCAUGGUUGUCGUCAGCUCCCGCCGUGAGCUGUCGGCUUAAGUGCCAUAACGAGCGCAACCCCCACCGCCGGUUACCAUCGGGUAAUGCCGGGGACUCCGGCGGCACUGCCAUCGCAAGAUGCGAGGAAGGCGGGGAUGACGUCAAAUCAGCACGGCCCUUACGUCCGGGGCCACACACGUGUUACAAUGGGGGGCACAGCGAGCAGGCGCAUGCCGACAUGCUCUCGAAUCAUGAAAUCCCCUCCCAGUUCGGACUGGAGUCUGCAACCCGACUCCACGAAG